AUGAAAUAUAAUUUUAAAAAGCAUCCGUUCUUCACACCGAUCUUUGAGGUUCGUCGUAAAUGGGCACGACCUUAUUUUAUGGGAGUUUUCUGUGCAAAGAUGACAAGCACUCAACAUAGCGAGAGCGCUAACCACAUGUUGAAAUGCUAUGUCUCUCCUGGGUGUCAAAUGCAUUUGUUUCUCAAACAAUUCAAGAAUAUACUUUUUAACUGGGAUUCAGAUGAGAGCUACCAAGAAAACAAACAUCCAUAUAUAGUAAGUGCUUAG
Molecule: ribosomal RNA, 267 nt
Filed under: Triticum aestivum (bread wheat)
Lineage: Eukaryota; Viridiplantae; Streptophyta; Magnoliopsida; Poales; Poaceae
Description: partial small subunit ribosomal RNA
Source: RNAcentral